UGACCCAGCCYWUGCCGCGUGAVAGGAAGACGGUCUCUGGAUUGUAAACUCCUUUUGAAUGGGAAGAAUGUGCGGUUUGCGAACUGUAAUGACGGUACCAUUAGAAUAAGCCACGGCUAAYUACGUGCCAGCAGCCGCGGUAAUACGKAGGUGGCGAGCGUUAUCCGGAUUUAUUGGGUUUAAAGGGUGCGUAGGCGGCUUAAUAAGUCGGUGGUAAAAGGUAGCAGCUUAACUGUUUUACAACCCAUCGKAUACUGCUAAGCUUGAGUUAUUKGGRGGCAGGCUAGAAUUUGCCGGUGUCGCGGUAAAAUGCAUAGAUACCGGAAGGAAUACCAAUUGCGAAGGCAGGUUGCUACGAUUAUACUGACGCUGAUGCACAAAAGCGUGGGGGAUCAAACARGAUUAGAUACC
RNAcentral lists this ribosomal RNA (411 nucleotides) under uncultured Sphingobacteriales bacterium. RNAcentral describes it as "partial 16S ribosomal RNA". It matches the Rfam family "Bacterial small subunit ribosomal RNA", at positions 384 to 786 of the family's 1533-position model. The record is from RNAcentral. Lineage: Bacteria; Pseudomonadati; Bacteroidota; Sphingobacteriia; Sphingobacteriales.